CAUAUCAAUAAGCGGAGGAAAAGAAACUAACAAGGAUUCCCCUAGUAACUGCGAGUGAAGCGGGAAAAGCUCAAAUUUAAAAUCUGGCAGUCUUUGGCUGUCCGAGUUGUAAUCUAGAGAAGUGUUAUCUGCGCUGGACCGUGUACAAGUCUCCUGGAAUGGAGCGUCAUAGAGGGUGAGAAUCCCGUCUUUGACACGGACUACCAGGGCUUUGUGAUGCGCUCUCAAAGAGUCGAGUUGUUUGGGAAUGCAGCUCAAAAUGGGUGGUAAAUUCCAUCUAAAGCUAAAUAUUGGCGAGAGACCGAUAGCGAACAAGUACCGUGAGGGAAAGAUGAAAAGAACUUUGGAAAGAGAGUUAAACAGUACGUGAAAUUGCUGAAAGGGAAACGCUUGAAGUCAGUCACGUUGUCCAGGGAUCAACCUUGCUUUUGCUUGGUGUACUUUCUGGUUGACGGGUCAGCAUCAAUUUUGACUGUUGGAAAAAGGUCAAGGGAAUGUGGCAUCCUCGGAUGUGUUAUAGCCCUUGGUUGUAUACAAUGGUUGGGAUUGAGGAACUCAGCACGCCGCAAGGCCGGGUUUUUAACCACGUACGUGCUUAGGAUGCUGGCAUAAUGGCUUUAAUCGACCCGUCUUGAAACACGGACCAAGGAGUCUAACAUGCCUGCGAGUGUUUGGGUGGAAAACCCGAGCGCGUAAUGAAAGUGAAAGUUGAGAUCCCUGUCGUGGGGAGCAUCGACGCCCGGACCAGACCUUUUGUGACGGUUCCGCGGUAGAGCAUGUAUGUUGGGACCCGAAAGAUGGUGAACUAUGCCUGAAUAGGGUGAAGCCAGAGGAAACUCUGGUGGAGGCUCGUAGCGAUUCUGACGUGCAAAUCGAUCGUCAAAUUUGGGUAUAGGGGCGAAAGACUAAUCGAACCAUCUAGUAGCUGGUUCCUGCC
RNAcentral lists this ribosomal RNA (937 nucleotides) under Cortinarius ignotus. RNAcentral's name for it is "partial large subunit ribosomal RNA". It matches the Rfam family "Eukaryotic large subunit ribosomal RNA", at positions 39 to 962 of the family's 3401-position model. The record is from RNAcentral. Lineage: Eukaryota; Fungi; Basidiomycota; Agaricomycetes; Agaricales; Cortinariaceae.